UCGAGAACUGCAAAGAAAGAAAACUAAGCUAAUCUCCAUCUGAGAAGGUCUCCUUAGUUUGACUUCUGUUCCUGUGAACCCUUGGAGAGAAGGCCCUGGUACAAAGUCCUUGCCAGGGAGCUCAUUGUUACUGCCAAGGACAGGUGGAUGUUUAAGGAGUGUGUGCAGACAACUCAAGGAGCAUGAAGGAUGGAUGUAUGAUGUUUGUCAGAAAAUGGGAAGAGCUGAACAAAUUAGCCAAGAACUUUUACUAGGUUCAUUUACCUUUGUGUUGUAGUCAGGGUGCAGUAAAGAAAGGCAGGGAGUUUUGUGGACGGAAUUUAAUACAGCAGGCUAGUUAGAAGGACGUUAUAAAACCAGGGGAGGGUGAGGCAACCCAGAGAUUAGCAACUGCAGGAAGCCAUUACCACUGCUAGGACGGAGGAACAAAGGGAGGGGACUGAGCCACCAGACCCAGGAACUGUGAGCUGGAACUGUGGAGGAGGGGCUGCAUGAGAUGCCACCUGAGGACCCUAUGGCUGAAACCAUGGGGGAAAGGCCAUCAUGGGGAAUGGGAAAUGGAAGCCAAGAAGAGGCUGUGUGAUGGAGCUGGGUCCAAGGAGGAAAUGUGGUCACCUACAGAGAGAGAUGUAGUCACUGCCCAAGAAAAGACUGGAAAGGGAGGUGGAGCUGGUGUAUUACCAAGUUUCCCUCUUCUUCCAUCCAUGCCUCCAUUGGCUCAAUCUAACAGGAAGCAAGUGGGCACAGAAGCCAUCCCCCAACAAUACCAAGCAGAGUAGGGGAAGGUGGGUAAUGGGUCUGAAAGCAAGCAGAUAACUUGCCUACCUGUGCCCCCUAUUUUUCUGCCACACAAGUCUGCAUGCUUUGGGGCACAGCAGAUGUUCCAGGCUGAGAUGAGAUGACAAUGAUGAUGAAAAACUGUGUACAGCGGAGUAGAUGUUCCCACUUCCAGGCUUCGAUAAACAUAAACCAGUAUAUCUAUUGAUGGUUGACAGGAAAAGAUUCCCAGUCUUC
RNAcentral lists this long non-coding RNA (1014 nucleotides) under Homo sapiens (human). RNAcentral's name for it is "HSALNT0202090". Lineage: Eukaryota; Metazoa; Chordata; Mammalia; Primates; Hominidae. The record is from RNAcentral.